RNAcentral lists this ribosomal RNA (484 nucleotides) under uncultured bacterium. RNAcentral's name for it is "partial 16S ribosomal RNA". It matches the Rfam family "Bacterial small subunit ribosomal RNA", at positions 30 to 507 of the family's 1533-position model. The record is from RNAcentral.
AUUGAACGCUGGCGGCAGGCCUAACACAUGCAAGUCGAGCGGAUGAAGGGAGCUUGCUCCUGGAUUCAGCGGCGGACGGGUGAGUAAUGCCUAGGAAUCUGCCUGGUAGUGGGGGAUAACGUCCGGAAACGGGCGCUAAUACCGCACACGUCCUGAGGGAGAAAGUGGGGGAUCUUCGGACCUCACGCUAUCAGAUGAGCCUAGGUCGGAUUAGCUAGUUGGUGGGGUAAAGGCCUACCAAGGCGACGAUCCGUAACUGGUCUGAGAGGAUGAUCAGUCACACUGGAACUGAGACACGGUCCAGACUCCUACGGGAGGCAGCAGUGGGGAAUAUUGGACAAAGGGCGAAAGCCUGAUCCAGCCAUGCCGCGUGUGUGAAGAAGGUCUUCGGAUUGUAAAGCACUUUAAGUUGGGAGGAAGGGCAGUAAGUUAAUACCUUGCUGUUUUGACGUUACCAACAGAAUAAGCACCGGCUAACUUCGUG